This 460-nucleotide ribosomal RNA is filed under the name uncultured bacterium. Its description in RNAcentral is "partial 16S ribosomal RNA". It matches the Rfam family "Bacterial small subunit ribosomal RNA", at positions 338 to 795 of the family's 1533-position model. The record is from RNAcentral.
CCUACGGGAGGCAGCAGUGAGGAAUAUUGGUCAAUGGACGAGAGUCUGAACCAGCCAAGUCGCGUGAAGGAUGACUGCCCUAUGGGUUGUAAACUUCUUUUAUAUGGGAAUAAAAUGUUCCACGUGUGGGCUUUUGUAUGUACCAUAUGAAUAAGGCUCGGCUAACUCCGUGCCAGCAGCCGCGGUAAUACGGAGGAUCCGAGCGUUAUCCGGAUUUAUUGGGUUUAAAGGGAGCGUAGGUGGAUUUUUAAGUCAGUUGUGAAAGUUUGCGGCUCAACCGUAAAAUUGCAGUUGAAACUGGCAGUCUUGAGUACAGUAGAGGUGGGCGGAAUGCGUGGUGUAGCGGUGAAAUGCUUAGAUAUCACGAAGAACUCCGAUUGCGAAGGCAGCUCACUGGACUGCAACUGACACUGAGGCUCGAAAGUGUGGGUAUCAAACAGGAUUAGAUACCCGGGUAGUC